AAUUUUUUUGAAAAAAAAAUAAAAAACUAUAUUUUUGAAUAAUUGGAUUAGUGGUUUAGUGUUUAAAGUUUUUUUUAUUAAGCAAGCUUUCGACAAUCAACUGUUGUCAUCAUCAGGGUAAAACUAUAACUGAAAAUUUUGUUUCAAAGCUUUCUUGUUAAAAUUGGAAUAAUUGGCUUCCAUGCAUUGCUUAGUUUAUAUCCGCUGUCUGGUUCAUUGUUGGUGUUAUCGAUUGUUGAAUGAAUAAACCUUCUUUGAUUUUUCACAAAUGGUAUUUUCGUUCUGUCAUGAUUAUUUUAGAAUUGUCCGAGUUUAUACUGUGACCUC
This is a long non-coding RNA of Bradysia coprophila, 327 nucleotides long. The record is from RefSeq and is a predicted model, not a curated record. NCBI's taxonomy places the organism in Eukaryota, Metazoa, Arthropoda, Insecta, Diptera, Sciaridae.